ACUGUGGGUAGCGGAGAAAUUCCAAUCGAACCCGGAGAUAGCUGGUUCUCCCCGAAAUAGUUUUAGGACUAGCCUCAAGUUAGAUACCUGGAGGUAAAGCACUGAAUAGCCUAGCGGCCGAGAGGUUAGCGAAGCUUAUCAAACUCAGAAUGCCAGAGUAUUGAUGCUUGGGAGUCAGACAGUGUCAGAUAAAUGUCAUUGUCAAAAGGGAAACAGCCCAGAUCUACAGCUAAGGUCCCAAAGUCAGGUUAAGUGGAAAACGAUGUGAAGAUACGCAGACAACCAGGAUGUUGGCUCAGAAGCAGCCACUCAUUCAAAGAGUGCGUAAUAGCUCACUGGUCGAGCGUCUUUGCGCGGAGAAUUUAACGGGGCUAAACCUGACACCGAAGCUUAGGCAAUCCAGCAAUGGAUUGGGUAGGGGAGCGUUGUAUACGCGGAGAAACAGUAGCGUAAGCGGCUGUGGAGUGUAUAGAAGUGAGAAUGCCGGAAUGAGUAGCGCGAAUGCAGUGAGAAUCUGCAUGGCCGAAAGCCUCAGGUUUUUGGAGGAAGGUUCGUCCGCUCCAAGUUAGUCGGGAGCUAAGGUGAGGCCGGAAGGCGUAGCCGAUGCACAGACGGUAGAGAUUCCGUCACCACCAAAAGAGUUAAGCACAGGGACACAUUUGAAGUCUCAGAGCCGGGUGUUGGUUCCGGUAGAGAUCGAGGGAAGUUAGUACCGAAGUCUGGGAUGGAAGAUGGCGAGAAAAGCUGUGUGUAUUUCUGAGGUGCCCGUACCGCAAACCGACACAGGUAGGUAGGAAGAAGAUUCUAAGGCCAACGGGAGAAGGGUUGUUAAGGAACUCGGCAAAUUGACCCCGUAACUUCGGGAGAAGGGGUGCUCCAGAGAUGGAGCCGCAGAGAAUCGGCCCAAGCAACUGUUUACCAAAAACACAGGUUUGUGCUAAAUCGAAAGAUGACGUAUACGAGCUGACGCCUGCCCGGUGCUGGAAGGUUAAGAGGAGAUGUGCAAGCAUUGAAUCGAAGCCCCAGUGAACGGCGGCCGUAACUAUAACGGUCCUAAGGUAGCGAAAUUCCUUGUCAGGUAAGUUCUGACCCGCAUGAAAGGCGUAAUGAUUUGGGCACUGUCUCAACAGCCCGCCCGGCGAAAUUGUAGUACCGGUGAAGAUGCCGGUUACCCGCGACAAGACGGAAAGACCCCAUGGAGCUUUACUGUAGCCUAAUAUUGGGUUUCGAUGUUGCAUGCACAGGAUAGAUGGGACACUGGGAAACAAUCGCUUUGGCGGUUGCGGAGUGGCCGUUGGGAUACCAUCCUUGCGAUAUUGGAAUUCUAACCUGCGGCUCUGAAUCGAGUCGGGGGACAUUGUUAGGUGGGCAGUUUGACUGGGGCGGUCGCCUCCUAAAAAGUAACGGAGGCGUUCAAAGGUUCGCUCAGCUUGAACGGAAAUCAAGCAAAAGAGUGCAAACGCAGAAGCGAGCCUAACUGCGAGACUGACGGGUCGAGCAGUAACGAAAGUUGGAGUUAGUGAUCCGGUGGUAUGUGAGUGGAAAUGCCAUCGCUCAACGGAUAAAAGUUACCCUGGGGAUAACAGGCUGAUCUCCCCCAAGAGUCCACAUCGACGGGGAGGUUUGGCACCUCGAUGUCGGCUCAUCGCAUCCUGGGGCUGUAUUCGGUCCCAAGGGUUUGGCUGUUCGCCAAUUAAAGCGGUACGCGAGCUGGGUUCAGAACGUCGUGAGACAGUUCGGUCCCUAUCUGUCGUGGGCGCAGGAUAUUUGAUGGGAGCUGUCCCUAGUACGAGAGGACCGGGACGGACGUACCUCUGGCGCACCAGUUGUUCCGCCAGGAGCAUAGCUGGGCAACUACGUACGGAUCGGAUAAACGCUGAAAGCAUCUAAGCGUGAAGCCGACCCAAAGAUAAGAUAUCCCACUGAUUUGAUCAGGUAAGACCCCUUGA
This 1949-nucleotide ribosomal RNA is filed under the name metagenome. RNAcentral's name for it is "bacterial LSU rRNA". It matches the Rfam family "Bacterial large subunit ribosomal RNA", at positions 808 to 2841 of the family's 2925-position model. The record is from RNAcentral.